Long non-coding RNA from Oncorhynchus keta (chum salmon), 1496 nucleotides. RefSeq lists it as uncharacterized. The transcript is spliced from 3 exons. NCBI's taxonomy places the organism in Eukaryota, Metazoa, Chordata, Actinopteri, Salmoniformes, Salmonidae. The record is from RefSeq and is a predicted model, not a curated record.
CAGAUCUGGGUCAGGGAGUGUUGUAGUCAGGUCCUGUUCUUCUCUGGGUCAGGGAGUGUUGUCGUCAGGUCCUGUUCUUCUCUGGGUCAGGGAGUGUUGUAGUCAGGUCCUGGUCUUCUCUGGGUCAGGGAGUGUUGUAGUCAGGUCCUGGUCUUCUCUGGGUCAGGGAGUGUUGUAGUCAGGUCCUGGUCUUCUCUGGGUCAGGGAGUGUUGUAGUCAGGUCCUGGUCUUCUCUGGGUCAGGGAGUGUUGUAGUCAGGUCCUGGUCUUCUCUGGGUCAGGGAGUGUUGUAGUCAGGUCCUGGUCUUCUCUGGGUCAGGGAGUGUUGUAGUCAGGUCCUGGUCUUCUCUGGGUCAGGGAGUGUUGUAGUCAGGUCCUGGUCUUCUCUGGGUCAGGGAGUGUUGUAGUCAGGUCCUGGUCUUCUCUGGGUCAGGGAGUGUUGUAGUCAGGUCCUGGUCUUCUCUGGGUCAGGGAGUGUUGUAGUCAGGUCCUGGUCUUCUCUGGGUCAGGGAGUGUUGUAGUCAGGUCCUGGUCUUCUCUGGGUCAGGGAGUGUUGUAGUCAGGUCCUGGUCUUCUCUGGGUCAGGGAGUGUUGUAGUCAGGUCCUGGUCUUCUCUGGGUCAGGGAGUGUUGUAGUCAGGUCCUGGUCUUCUCUGGGUCAGCGAGUGUUGUAGUCAGGUCCUGUUCUUCUCUGGGUCAGGGAGUGUUGUAGUCAGGUCCUUCUUUUAUGUUUCCCUGACUUUCACUCCUCUGAAUGUGACACCAUCCCCUCUUCCGCUCCUCAUCUGUCCUGUGUGUUACGUGUUGAUUGUGUUUGCUCUUGUCUGUGUGUUAUGUGUUGUGUGUGUUUGCUCUUGUCUGUGUGUGUAUGAGAAAGACAACGCCAUUCAUUCAGCGCCACUCACAGAUGGCUGAUGUUGCUUAGUAACCAGGUGGCCUGUGGAAUCAUGACAGACUGUCCCUUCGUUGUCCUGAGAGACAUAGAGAGAGAGGAUAUGUACAACAAUAGAUAUUCUAGAAUGAGCUCUGUGGAGUAUACAGUAUAUAAUACACAGUGUAUCAAUGUGAAGUGACCAGUGUUCAAUGUCUCUAUAUACAUGGGACAGCAGUGAUGUGUGUGUGUGUGUGUGUGUGUGUGUGUGUGUGUGUGUGUGUGUGUGUGUGUGUGUGUGUGUGUGUGUGUGUGUGUGUGUGUGUGUGUGUGUGUGUGUGUGUGUGUGUGUGUGUGUGUGUGGGUGUAUGUUUGCAAAAAGCUCUCUAAGAUGCAGGGCAGAGUACAGGUGGGCACCUAUGGAUGGCUCUUCAACAGUCUGAUGGUCUGGUGAUAGAAGCUGUUUCAGAGUCUGUUGGUCUGAGAUCUGAUGCUCCUGGAACAUCUGCCAGACUGCAGCAGAAUCAACACUCUGUGGCUGAUGUCCCUAAUGAUCUUCCUGGCCUUCUUCCACACUGAGGGGUGUAAAUGUCCCCGAGGGCAGGCGGCGUACCCCCGGUGGUCAGG